AUGCGGCUCUUCGACGGGGUCUACUCCUCGUCGGCCGAUCUCUCCUGCAUCAGCAGGGCGCACAUUGUGCUGUUGCCCAAAGGCGAAGGUGUUCUCUCGCCCGCGGGCUUCCGGCCGGUCUCGCUCCAGAACUGUGAUGUCAAGUUGGUCUGCAAAGCCCUGACUACCAGACUUCAGCAUCAAAUCCCGGGGCUAAUUGACCCCGACCAGUCUGGCUUCAUCAAAGGGAGAAGCCUCUCCGAAAACUUCAUCUACGCUGCGGAGAUUGUGCAAUGUUGUGACUCCAGGAAGGCACCCUCUCUCGUCCUCAAGCUUGACUUCGUGAAGGCUUUCAACUCCAUCAGCUGGCAGAGCCUUCGGAGGAUCAUGGAGGUGCGGGGGUUCCCUGCGCGCUGGUGUGACUGGAUGGACGCCAUUUUCCGCUCCUCCAUGUCAGCGGUCCUUCUCAACAGGGUUCCCGGGCGCUGGAUCACGUGCAAGAAGGGGCGGCGCCAAGGCGACACGAUCUCCCCCUACCUCUUCCUGCUUAUGGCGGAUGUGCUACAACGGUUGAUC
This 555-nucleotide ribosomal RNA is filed under the name Triticum aestivum (bread wheat). RNAcentral's name for it is "partial small subunit ribosomal RNA". The record is from RNAcentral. Lineage: Eukaryota; Viridiplantae; Streptophyta; Magnoliopsida; Poales; Poaceae.